Grus americana (Whooping crane) is the source of this 7240-nucleotide long non-coding RNA. RefSeq lists it as uncharacterized. The transcript has 19 exons. Lineage: Eukaryota; Metazoa; Chordata; Aves; Gruiformes; Gruidae. The record is from RefSeq and is a predicted model, not a curated record.
AAGGCCUUACGAAAGCACCGCCGUGCUUUUAUUAAGAGCGACAACCCUCAGUGCCUUGUGGAGAGGUGGGGUUGGUUUGGUGCGUGCUCCCCAGCUGCUCCUCUCUUGCCCAGCAGUCCCCCGUGACGUGCAAAGGGGAGCCGCUCUGUUCGUUCCCCUGGGUCGGUGAUGGGUGUUGGCAUGUAUUAGCUGAGCAUAAACCUGAAGACUAUCAGCUUAGCUCUAGAAUUACUCUGAGACCUGGGAAGCGAACUUCUUGUUGCCCCUUUAUCGGCAAGGAGGGUGCAGCUGUAUUUGCACGUGGCUCCCGUGACGGGAGAACGUGCCGAAUCUGGGCGCAGCACUGCUGCUUGGUUGCUCGGGUCGAUCCCCACGGCAGCUAGCAGCACGGGUUUUAUCGGCGUGGGUUACCAGACAUCGCCCCCAACAGCAACUGGAUUCCAGUUCCAGGAGGUGGAAAAUGUCAAUAACUGCUUGUGUCUGGAGGGGGGGGUGGGGAAAGCUGCAGUUACUUUUCGUGUCCCCGAAAGAGGGGGAGGCACUGUUGCCUGUGCUGCUUGUUGCUGUGCUGAAAACAUGCAGGUUGUAAGUACUGCAUCAAGAAGGUGAUGCUCGCGGGUGACGUAGGCAGACAAGAGGAGAGAUGCAUAUGAGAAUUCCCUUUGUAGUGCCACCUCAGGUCGUGGCAGCUUUGGCACUCGACAAAGUAAAAAUCAUGCCCUGCUUCGGGGCGCAGUCUGUCGGGAGUACUUGAGGACGAGCGGCGUUUCCUGGGGGCAGACAGCGAGGGAUCCCGUGGGACGACGGCUGCACCGACUGACGGCAGACGGAAUUCUGGCGUUCAUCAGAUCACGCCAGCGCACGUGGUGCGAAGUAAAAAUCAUGCCCUGCUUCGGGGCGCAGUCUGUCGGGAGUACUUGAGGACGAGCGGCGUUUCCUGGGGGCAGACAGCGAGGGAUCCCGUGGGACGACGGCUGCACCGACUGACGGCAGACGGAAUUCUGGCGUUCAUCAGAUCACGCCAGCGCACGUGGUGCGAGGGGGAAAAGAAAAGAAAAAAGGGACGCCAAACCAAGAAGAGAACGUUGCCUGAAUCUUAUUUUUUCACCAAGGCUAUCUCCACCUGUUCUGUCUUUGAUUUUCCUUCUCACGCAAACGGCGGUGAAAAACAAUACGGAGAAAAAGGCUCCAGUGCUUGCCAACAGCGGCUUGGUUGUUCGCGUGAUGUAUCUCUCGUCCCAUCUCGAGGAAGAAAUCUGUUAGCGGUGUUACAAAUGAAGUAGCAUCCUGCUUUGGGCAGAAACUGUGCUGCAUUUGAAAGCCUGGGUAGGGCAGGCGGAGGUUGCCUUCUUGGGUCAGUGAUGAGUGUUGGCAUGUAUUACCUGAUGUAAAGCUGAUGUCUGUCACCACUUUAGCUCUAGAAUUAUUCUGAGACCCAGGCAACUCCAGUUUCUUUCCACUGUAUUUCUGAGCAUUUCCCCCAGUAUUUCUGAGGCUCUGCAGCUCUCCAGGGCAGUUCCCAACUACACGGCUGUCUGCAGGUUACGCUGGUUGAGGUUUUUUGGAUGUAUAUCUGACUGCACAGCAGCUGAAAAGGAGUUGUUCGCUUUGAUGCGCAGUCAACACACGGAUGGCUGGAGUUGUAACGCGCGCUUUGUCAGUGAGCGAGGAAACUAUCCGCGGGCUGGAAAAGGCAGCAGUGCCGAGGAACUCUGUGGUUAAUCGCUCUUGUUGUUCAGCGUGAAACCUGGGCUUGAGUGUUUUGUCGCCUGUUGUCGAGGAUGACUUGAAUGUAUUUUUCCUUGUCAUUGAAGAGUAUUUAUUUCAUUCCCUCCUCCCUGCGUUGUAGGAGUAAGAGCCCCAAGGUUCUCCCGGUGCGGUGCAACGCGACGCUGCGAAAGGAUGCGAUAAGAAACCCUGAUGCCCCGAGCACGUUGCCGUACGGGCCGCGUGUUUCUCCCGGAGUUUCGCCCGGGACACGGAAAGGUGACCGAAAGUAAAAAUCAUGCCCUGCUUCGGGGCGCAGUCUGUCGGGAGUACUUGAGGACGAGCGGCGUUUCCUGGGGGCAGACAGCGAGGGAUCCCGUGGGACGACGGCUGCACCGACUGACGGCAGACGGAAUUCUGGCGUUCAUCAGAUCACGCCAGCGCACGUGGUGCGAAGUAAAAAUCAUGCCCUGCUUCGGGGCGCAGUCUGUCGGGAGUACUUGAGGACGAGCGGCGUUUCCUGGGGGCAGACAGCGAGGGAUCCCGUGGGACGACGGCUGCACCGACUGACGGCAGACGGAAUUCUGGCGUUCAUCAGAUCACGCCAGCGCACGUGGUGCGAAGUAAAAAUCAUGCCCUGCUUCGGGGCGCAGUCUGUCGGGAGUACUUGAGGACGAGCGGCGUUUCCUGGGGGCAGACAGCGAGGGAUCCCGUGGGACGACGGCUGCACCGACUGACGGCAGACGGAAUUCUGGCGUUCAUCAGAUCACGCCAGCGCACGUGGUGCGAAGUAAAAAUCAUGCCCUGCUUCGGGGCGCAGUCUGUCGGGAGUACUUGAGGACGAGCGGCGUUUCCUGGGGGCAGACAGCGAGGGAUCCCGUGGGACGACGGCUGCACCGACUGACGGCAGACGGAAUUCUGGCGUUCAUCAGAUCACGCCAGCGCACGUGGUGCGAGGGGGAAAAGAAAAGAAAAAAGGGACGCCAAACCAAGAAGAGAACGUUGCCUGAAUCUUAUUUUUUCACCAAGGCUAUCUCCACCUGUUCUGUCUUUGAUUUUCCUUCUCACGCAAACGGCGGUGAAAAACAAUACGGAGAAAAAGGCUCCAGUGCUUGCCAACAGCGGCUUGGUUGUUCGCGUGAUGUAUCUCUCGUCCCAUCUCGAGGAAGAAAUCUGUUAGCGGUGUUACAAAUGAAGUAGCAUCCUGCUUUGGGCAGAAACUGUGCUGCAUUUGAAAGCCUGGGUAGGGCAGGCGGAGGUUGCCUUCUUGGGUCAGUGAUGAGUGUUGGCAUGUAUUACCUGAUGUAAAGCUGAUGUCUGUCACCACUUUAGCUCUAGAAUUAUUCUGAGACCCAGGCAACUCCAGUUUCUUUCCACUGUAUUUCUGAGCAUUUCCCCCAGUAUUUCUGAGGCUCUGCAGCUCUCCAGGGCAGUUCCCAACUACACGGCUGUCUGCAGGUUACGCUGGUUGAGGUUUUUUGGAUGUAUAUCUGACUGCACAGCAGCUGAAAAGGAGUUGUUCGCUUUGAUGCGCAGUCAACACACGGAUGGCUGGAGUUGUAACGCGCGCUUUGUCAGUGAGCGAGGAAACUAUCCGCGGGCUGGAAAAGGCAGCAGUGCCGAGGAACUCUGUGGUUAAUCGCUCUUGUUGUUCAGCGUGAAACCUGGGCUUGAGUGUUUUGUCGCCUGUUGUCGAGGAUGACUUGAAUGUAUUUUUCCUUGUCAUUGAAGAGUAUUUAUUUCAUUCCCUCCUCCCUGCGUUGUAGGAGUAAGAGCCCCAAGGUUCUCCCGGUGCGGUGCAACGCGACGCUGCGAAAGGAUGCGAUAAGAAACCCUGAUGCCCCGAGCACGUUGCCGUACGGGCCGCGUGUUUCUCCCGGAGUUUCGCCCGGGACACGGAAAGGUGACCGAAAGUAAAAAUCAUGCCCUGCUUCGGGGCGCAGUCUGUCGGGAGUACUUGAGGACGAGCGGCGUUUCCUGGGGGCAGACAGCGAGGGAUCCCGUGGGACGACGGCUGCACCGACUGACGGCAGACGGAAUUCUGGCGUUCAUCAGAUCACGCCAGCGCACGUGGUGCGAAGUAAAAAUCAUGCCCUGCUUCGGGGCGCAGUCUGUCGGGAGUACUUGAGGACGAGCGGCGUUUCCUGGGGGCAGACAGCGAGGGAUCCCGUGGGACGACGGCUGCACCGACUGACGGCAGACGGAAUUCUGGCGUUCAUCAGAUCACGCCAGCGCACGUGGUGCGAGGGGGAAAAGAAAAGAAAAAAGGGACGCCAAACCAAGAAGAGAACGUUGCCUGAAUCUUAUUUUUUCACCAAGGCUAUCUCCACCUGUUCUGUCUUUGAUUUUCCUUCUCACGCAAACGGCGGUGAAAAACAAUACGGAGAAAAAGGCUCCAGUGCUUGCCAACAGCGGCUUGGUUGUUCGCGUGAUGUAUCUCUCGUCCCAUCUCGAGGAAGAAAUCUGUUAGCGGUGUUACAAAUGAAGUAGCAUCCUGCUUUGGGCAGAAACUGUGCUGCAUUUGAAAGCCUGGGUAGGGCAGGCGGAGGUUGCCUUCUUGGGUCAGUGAUGAGUGUUGGCAUGUAUUACCUGAUGUAAAGCUGAUGUCUGUCACCACUUUAGCUCUAGAAUUAUUCUGAGACCCAGGCAACUCCAGUUUCUUUCCACUGUAUUUCUGAGCAUUUCCCCCAGUAUUUCUGAGGCUCUGCAGCUCUCCAGGGCAGUUCCCAACUACACGGCUGUCUGCAGGUUACGCUGGUUGAGGUUUUUUGGAUGUAUAUCUGACUGCACAGCAGCUGAAAAGGAGUUGUUCGCUUUGAUGCGCAGUCAACACACGGAUGGCUGGAGUUGUAACGCGCGCUUUGUCAGUGAGCGAGGAAACUAUCCGCGGGCUGGAAAAGGCAGCAGUGCCGAGGAACUCUGUGGUUAAUCGCUCUUGUUGUUCAGCGUGAAACCUGGGCUUGAGUGUUUUGUCGCCUGUUGUCGAGGAUGACUUGAAUGUAUUUUUCCUUGUCAUUGAAGAGUAUUUAUUUCAUUCCCUCCUCCCUGCGUUGUAGGAGUAAGAGCCCCAAGGUUCUCCCGGUGCGGUGCAACGCGACGCUGCGAAAGGAUGCGAUAAGAAACCCUGAUGCCCCGAGCACGUUGCCGUACGGGCCGCGUGUUUCUCCCGGAGUUUCGCCCGGGACACGGAAAGGUGACCGAAAGUAAAAAUCAUGCCCUGCUUCGGGGCGCAGUCUGUCGGGAGUACUUGAGGACGAGCGGCGUUUCCUGGGGGCAGACAGCGAGGGAUCCCGUGGGACGACGGCUGCACCGACUGACGGCAGACGGAAUUCUGGCGUUCAUCAGAUCACGCCAGCGCACGUGGUGCGAGGGGGAAAAGAAAAGAAAAAAGGGACGCCAAACCAAGAAGAGAACGUUGCCUGAAUCUUAUUUUUUCACCAAGGCUAUCUCCACCUGUUCUGUCUUUGAUUUUCCUUCUCACGCAAACGGCGGUGAAAAACAAUACGGAGAAAAAGGCUCCAGUGCUUGCCAACAGCGGCUUGGUUGUUCGCGUGAUGUAUCUCUCGUCCCAUCUCGAGGAAGAAAUCUGUUAGCGGUGUUACAAAUGAAGUAGCAUCCUGCUUUGGGCAGAAACUGUGCUGCAUUUGAAAGCCUGGGUAGGGCAGGCGGAGGUUGCCUUCUUGGGUCAGUGAUGAGUGUUGGCAUGUAUUACCUGAUGUAAAGCUGAUGUCUGUCACCACUUUAGCUCUAGAAUUAUUCUGAGACCCAGGCAACUCCAGUUUCUUUCCACUGUAUUUCUGAGCAUUUCCCCCAGUAUUUCUGAGGCUCUGCAGCUCUCCAGGGCAGUUCCCAACUACACGGCUGUCUGCAGGUUACGCUGGUUGAGGUUUUUUGGAUGUAUAUCUGACUGCACAGCAGCUGAAAAGGAGUUGUUCGCUUUGAUGCGCAGUCAACACACGGAUGGCUGGAGUUGUAACGCGCGCUUUGUCAGUGAGCGAGGAAACUAUCCGCGGGCUGGAAAAGGCAGCAGUGCCGAGGAACUCUGUGGUUAAUCGCUCUUGUUGUUCAGCGUGAAACCUGGGCUUGAGUGUUUUGUCGCCUGUUGUCGAGGAUGACUUGAAUGUAUUUUUCCUUGUCAUUGAAGAGUAUUUAUUUCAUUCCCUCCUCCCUGCGUUGUAGGAGUAAGAGCCCCAAGGUUCUCCCGGUGCGGUGCAACGCGACGCUGCGAAAGGAUGCGAUAAGAAACCCUGAUGCCCCGAGCACGUUGCCGUACGGGCCGCGUGUUUCUCCCGGAGUUUCGCCCGGGACACGGAAAGGUGACCGAAAGUAAAAAUCAUGCCCUGCUUCGGGGCGCAGUCUGUCGGGAGUACUUGAGGACGAGCGGCGUUUCCUGGGGGCAGACAGCGAGGGAUCCCGUGGGACGACGGCUGCACCGACUGACGGCAGACGGAAUUCUGGCGUUCAUCAGAUCACGCCAGCGCACGUGGUGCGAAGUAAAAAUCAUGCCCUGCUUCGGGGCGCAGUCUGUCGGGAGUACUUGAGGACGAGCGGCGUUUCCUGGGGGCAGACAGCGAGGGAUCCCGUGGGACGACGGCUGCACCGACUGACGGCAGACGGAAUUCUGGCGUUCAUCAGAUCACGCCAGCGCACGUGGUGCGAAGUAAAAAUCAUGCCCUGCUUCGGGGCGCAGUCUGUCGGGAGUACUUGAGGACGAGCGGCGUUUCCUGGGGGCAGACAGCGAGGGAUCCCGUGGGACGACGGCUGCACCGACUGACGGCAGACGGAAUUCUGGCGUUCAUCAGAUCACGCCAGCGCACGUGGUGCGGAGUAAGAGCUCCAAGGUUCUCCCGGUGCGGUGCAACGCGACGCUGCGAAAGGAUGCGAUAAGAAACCCUGAUGCCCCGAGCACGUUGCCGUACGGGCCGCGUGUUUCUCCCGGAGUUUCGCCCGGGACACGGAAAGGUGACCGAAAGUAAAAAUCAUGCCCUGCUUCGGGGCGCAGUCUGUCGGGAGUACUUGAGGACGAGCGGCGUUUCCUGGGGGCAGACAGCGAGGGAUCCCGUGGGACGACGGCUGCACCGACUGACGGCAGACGGAAUUCUGGCGUUCAUCAGAUCACGCCAGCGCACGUGGUGCGGUAAGUGCCGGCACAGGUCGUGAUCCUCAUCUUGUGUCGACCCCCAGCACGUCCGGGUAAAUGUGACAGGGUCGCUGUGGGAACAACCGCUUGCAAUUCAUGAUCUUGAGGACUGCAGACUUAGGAACUGGGUGCAGUUGGAUAUGGAUGGCAAGAACGGUUUUGGUACCUUAUUCAACAAUAAUCUGAUGGGCCCAACUUUAGGAUUCAUCUCCUAAAGAGAAUUGUCAGAUUUGGGAACAUUGUGCUUUCAAUGUUCCUUUACUGGUGGCUUUUUGUCUGCGUUUUUUGUGAAUUUUGUAGCAGUCUCCCCGAAACAUUGCUUAGGUACAGGUCGUAGCGGGAUCUUGUCGAUAACUGCUUGUGGAUUUCAUGAAUUCUCCUCAAGCGGGGGGU